UACGGAGGGUGCGAGCGUUAAUCGGAAUUACUGGGCGUAAAGCGCGCGUAGGCGGCUUGAUAAGCCGGUUGUGAAAGCCCCGGGCUCAACCUGGGAGCGGCAUCCGGAACUGUCAGGCUAGAGUGCAGGAGAGGAAGGUAGAAUUCCCGGUGUAGCGGUGAGAUGCGGAGAGAUCGUGAGGAAUACCAGUGGCGAAGGCGUCCUUCUGGACUGACACUGACGCUGAGGUGCGAAAGCGUGGGUAGCAAACAGG
This 253-nucleotide unclassified non-coding RNA is filed under the name uncultured Halomonadaceae bacterium. RNAcentral's name for it is "contains 16S-23S intergenic spacer region". It matches the Rfam family "Bacterial small subunit ribosomal RNA", at positions 524 to 776 of the family's 1533-position model. The record is from RNAcentral. Lineage: Bacteria; Pseudomonadati; Pseudomonadota; Gammaproteobacteria; Oceanospirillales; Halomonadaceae.